This is a ribosomal RNA of Danio rerio (zebrafish), 116 nucleotides long. NCBI's taxonomy places the organism in Eukaryota, Metazoa, Chordata, Actinopteri, Cypriniformes, Danionidae. The record is from Ensembl.
AUUUACAGCCACAUCACCCUGCAGCCAAGACUGGUUACCCACUGAAGCUAAGCAGGGCUGAGCCUGAUCAGUAUCUGGAUGGGAGACCACAUGGAAAAACUUGGUUGCUGUUGGAA